Molecule: ribosomal RNA, 465 nt
Filed under: uncultured bacterium
Lineage: Bacteria
Description: partial 16S ribosomal RNA
Rfam family: Bacterial small subunit ribosomal RNA
Source: RNAcentral
CCUACGGGUGGCAGCAGUAGGGCAUCUUCCACAAUGGGCGCAAGCCUGAUGGAGCAACACCGCGUGAGUGAAGAAGGGUUUCGGCUCGUAAAGCUCUGUCGUCGGAGAAGAACGUUCGCUAGAGUAACUGUCCAUGCAUUGACGGUAUCCACCCAGCAAGUCACGGCUAACUACGUGCCAGCAGCCGCGGUAAUACGUAGGUGGCAAGCGUUAUCCGGAAUUAUUGGGCGUAAAGCGAGCGCAGGCGGUUGCUUAGGUCUGAUGUGAAAGCCUUCGGCUUAACCGAAGAAGUGCAUCGGAAACCGGGCAACUUGAGUGCAGAAGAGGACAGUGGAACUCCAUGUGUAGCAGUGGAAUGCGUAGAUAUAUGGAAGAACACCAGUGGCGAAGGCGGCUGUCUGGUCUGCAACUGACGCUGAGGCUCGAAAGCAUGGGUAGCGAACAGGAUUAGAUACCCGAGUAGUC